Molecule: long non-coding RNA, 591 nt
Filed under: Mus spretus (western wild mouse)
Lineage: Eukaryota; Metazoa; Chordata; Mammalia; Rodentia; Muridae
Description: CHD2 adjacent suppressive regulatory RNA (ENSMSPG00010025324.1)
Source: RNAcentral
GCGGCCGGGAGGCGGCUUCGCGCCGUGGGCGGGAGGCUGCGGCGGGCGACCCGUCCUGGACACGCGAGGAAGAGCGAGCCGAUGGCGGCAGCGGCCGCGCUUCGACCCGGUGUGCCAUUUUGAAGACUGAGACCAUAGAGUUCUAAGAAUAAAGGAAAGAGCCCUUGGGAAAUUAUUAUAUAUAGCAAAAAUGUGAAUCCUCAGAUGGAAUGAAAGGCCUGCACCAUAGACAUUGAAGCAUUUACACCCCGCUUGAAGAGUUUGAAAUGGACUUUACUACUGAGAAAUCAAGAUGGCAGCCCAUUAUGGGGGAAUUGAGGAAAAUGGAUUAAUGCAAGAAUGCUGUAAUAUUAUACAACCAACACAGGAUUCUUUUAAUGUGGAUUCCAUGAAAUGAAUGAUUCUUACCCAACACAAAUGGACAGUGGAAUUUACUUCCUAAAGACUUGUUACAUGUCAUGUACAUUUUUGACAUCUGGAGAAGACUCUACAAUUCUACAAAUGGUAGUUUGUAUUCCUGGAAUUUCUUGCAGUUUGAUUUGAAGUGACCUUAUGGAAUGUUAACUUUAAUAAAAUCUCUAAAACUUAAAA